GGGGCUGAUUCUGGAUUCGACGGGAUUUGCGAAACCCAAGGUGCAUGCCGAGGGCGGUUGGCCUCGUAAAAAGCCGCAAAAAAUAGUCGCAAACGACGAAAACUACGCUUUAGCAGCUUAAUAACCUGCUUAGAGCCCUCUCUCCCCUAGCCUCCGCUCUUAGGACGGGGAUCAAGAGAGGUCAAACCCAAAAGAGAUCGCGUGGAAGCCCUGCACGGGUUGAAGCGUUAAAACUUAAUCAGGCUAGUUUGUUAGUGGCGUGUCCGUCCGCAGCUGGCAAGCGAAUGUAAAGACUGACUAAGCAUGUAGUACCGAGGAUGUAGGAAUUUCGGACGCGGGUUCAACUCCCGCCAGCUCCACCA
RNAcentral lists this transfer-messenger RNA (362 nucleotides) under Escherichia coli. It matches the Rfam family "transfer-messenger RNA". From Rfam's summary of the family: Bacterial tmRNA, also known as 10Sa RNA or SsrA, is named for its dual tRNA and mRNA-like properties. The record is from RNAcentral. Lineage: Bacteria; Pseudomonadati; Pseudomonadota; Gammaproteobacteria; Enterobacterales; Enterobacteriaceae.